RNAcentral lists this unclassified non-coding RNA (353 nucleotides) under soil metagenome. RNAcentral describes it as "partial contains 5.8S ribosomal RNA, internal transcribed spacer 2, and large subunit ribosomal RNA". The stretch from base 1 to 120 matches the Rfam family "5.8S ribosomal RNA", at positions 35 to 154 of the family's 154-position model. The record is from RNAcentral.
GAUGAAGAACGUAGCUAAAUGCGAUAAGUAAUGUGAAUUGCAGAAUUCAGUGAAUCAUCGAAUCUUUGAACGCACAUUGCGCCCGCGAGUAUUCUCGCGGGCAUGCCUGUCCGAGCGUCAUUUCAACCCUCAGGGCCCGCCUGCUUCGGCAGGCGCGGCGCUGGUGUUGGGGAUCGGCCUAACCGCCGUCCCCCAAAUACAGUGGCGGUCUCGCUGCAGCCUCCCCUGCGUAGUAGCAACACUCGCAUGCGGAGCGCGGCGCGGCCACGCCGUAAAACCCCCGACUUUCUGAACGUUGACCUCGGAUCAGGUAGGAAUACCCGCUGAACUUAAGCAUAUCAAUAAGCGGAGGA